RNAcentral lists this small nuclear RNA (104 nucleotides) under Myotis brandtii (Brandt's bat). The record is from RNAcentral. Lineage: Eukaryota; Metazoa; Chordata; Mammalia; Chiroptera; Vespertilionidae.
GUGCUUGCUUCCCCAGCACAUAUGCUAAAAUUGGAACAGCACAGAGAUUAGCAUGGCCCCCGCGCAAGGAUGACAUGCAAAUUCGUGAAGUGUUCCAUAUUUAA